RNA transcript from Solanum stenotomum, 1446 nucleotides. RefSeq lists it as uncharacterized. Lineage: Eukaryota; Viridiplantae; Streptophyta; Magnoliopsida; Solanales; Solanaceae. The record is from RefSeq and is a predicted model, not a curated record. The transcript is spliced from 4 exons.
AAUACCCUAUUCAGUUAAGUCACUCCCCGAGCAGAGUCCCCAAACGCUUUCUCCCAAUUUCUGAGAUCUGCGCAAAACCCUAAACCCCAUUUGCGAUUUUGCUUCAAAUUCAGUCACAAUGUCGAUGUCGAAGAGUUCUAAGAUGCUUCAAUACAUCAAUUAUCGUAUGCGUGUUACUAUCCAGGAUGGCCGUCAAUUGAUCGGCAAGUUUAUGGCAUUUGAUCGACAUAUGAAUCUUGUACUCGGCGAUUGUGAAGAGUUUCGUAAGCUUCCUCCUACUAAAGGUUCUAAGGAAGAACGUGAAGAUCGCCGUACACUUGGUCUUCUUCUUCUCAGGGGUGAAGAAGUGAUUUCCAUGACUGUUGAAGGUCCUCCACCUCCGGAUGAUUCUCGUGUUAAAGCUACUGCUGGUGGUGUUUCUGCUGUUCCUGGACCCGGGUUGGGUCGGGCGGCGGGUCGGGGUGUUCCGACUGGUCCGAUGGUUCAUGCUCAGCCGGGUCUUGCUGGUCCUGUUCGUGGUGUUGGUGGACCUGCACCGGGAAUGAUGCAGCCGCAGAUUUCUCGUCCGCCGAUUAAUUACCCGCAGCAGCCUCCUCCUAUGGUUCGACCACCUGGUGGUGGGCCUCCACCUCCAAUGCAAAUGCAAAUGCAAAGACCUGGUGGCCCACCUAUGCCUCCGCCGCCACAGUUCAGGCCUGGUGGUCCUGGACCGUUUCCGCCUCAGUUUGGUCAGAGGCCCAUGGGACCACCACCUCCACAGAUGAUGAGAGGUCCUCCACCACCAGGGUCGCAGCCACCAAGACCUGGAAUGCCUGGUGGGCCACCUCAUCCGGGGAUGCCUCCACCUCCUGGUGGGCAAAUUCCAGUCUUUGGACCUCCUCGCCCGGGAAUGCCACCUCCUCCAAAUGCACCUCACCAGCAGAAUCAGCAGCAGUAGAAUCAAUCAUCUCAUGGAAGAUGGCCUGUAUAUGCAAUACUCGCAAAAUAUGAUGAACGCCUUUUUCCCCUCGAAAGAUCACCUGUCUCUGAUCAUUUGGUUGUUGCACUGAAGAUGGUGCGCUGUUAUGAUGUUGUCUCUUGAUGGAUCUGGAAGGUGUGGAUGGAAAUUGCUCUGGUUUUGAAUAUAUAGUGAUAUAGGUUUUGAACAGACAGAGGGCAUGCUCUGUAAAGGUCAAGUAGUCAUUAGCUUCUCCUGCUUACCUCAAUGAUCGUUAUCUUAGGUCCUUUUUUCAGCACUCAGCUAAGGAUUUGGUGUUUGGGCGAUCAAACUAAGGCUAUAUUUGAUGGUGGUUGAGUGAUAUUUGCUUUCAAUUAGCUUGUAAUUGUGCAAGAUAGGAGUCCUUAAACUAAUGUUCUUAUCAGUAUUUGUCAAACUUCCUGUCUUUUGAUUUUCAAUAUUGCUUUCUGCUAUGACUUAAUGAAGAUUUCAGUGGGUUGUUCAUUCAA